UACGUAGGUGGCAAGCGUUGUCCGGAUUUACUGGGUGUAAAGGGCGUGCAGCCGGGCUGACAAGUCAGAUGUGAAAUCCCGCGGCUCAACCGCGGAACUGCAUUUGAAACUGUCAGUCUUGAGUACCGGAGAGGUCAUCGGAAUUCCUUGUGUAGCGGUGAAAUGCGUAGAUAUAAGGAAGAACACCAGUGGCGAAGGCAGAUGACUGGACGGCAACUGACGGUGAGGCGCGAAAGCGUGGGGAGCAAACAGG
RNAcentral lists this ribosomal RNA (253 nucleotides) under uncultured bacterium. RNAcentral describes it as "partial 16S ribosomal RNA". It matches the Rfam family "Bacterial small subunit ribosomal RNA", at positions 524 to 776 of the family's 1533-position model. The record is from RNAcentral.